Molecule: small nucleolar RNA, 98 nt
Filed under: Torulaspora delbrueckii CBS 1146
Lineage: Eukaryota; Fungi; Ascomycota; Saccharomycetes; Saccharomycetales; Saccharomycetaceae
Description: Small nucleolar RNA snR65
Rfam family: Small nucleolar RNA snR65
Source: Rfam by way of RNAcentral
UCAAAUGAUGAGUUUAUUGAACACUUUUCUUAGCUAGAUAGUAUCUGAAAGCAAACUUUAUGAUUGUGGUGUUUUUUUCAAUGGGAAUCUCUCUGAUA